RNAcentral lists this ribosomal RNA (491 nucleotides) under marine sediment bacterium ISA-6391. Its description in RNAcentral is "bacterial SSU rRNA". It matches the Rfam family "Bacterial small subunit ribosomal RNA", at positions 37 to 519 of the family's 1533-position model. The record is from RNAcentral.
UAGCGGCAGGCCUAACACAUGCAAGUCGAGGGGCAGCGGGGAAAAGCUUGCUUUUCCGCCGGCGACCGGCGCACGGGUGCGGAACGCGUAUGGAACCUGCCCCUGUCAGGGGAAUAGCCCAGGGAAACUUGGAUUAAUGCCCCAUGGUACCAUUAUAUCGCAUGAUAUUAUGGUUAAAGAUUUAUCGGACAGGGAUGGCCAUGCGUACCAUUAGUUAGAUGGUGAGGUAACGGCUCACCAUGGCAGCGAUGGUUAGGGGCCCUGAGAGGGGGAUCCCCCACACUGGUACUGAGACACGGACCAGACUCCUACGGGAGGCAGCAGUGAGGAAUAUUGGACAAUGGUCGGGAGACUGAUCCAGCCAUGCCGCGUGCAGGAUGACUGCCCUAUGGGUUGUAAACUGCUUUUAUACGGGAAGAAACCACCCUACGUGUAGGGUGCUGACGGUACCGUAAGAAUAAGGACCGGCUAACUCCGUGCCAGCAGCCGCG